Molecule: ribosomal RNA, 391 nt
Filed under: uncultured bacterium
Lineage: Bacteria
Description: partial 16S ribosomal RNA
Rfam family: Bacterial small subunit ribosomal RNA
Source: RNAcentral
AUACGGAAGGUCCGGGCGUUAUCCGGAUUUAUUGGGUUUAAAGGGAGCGCAGGCUGAUUGUUAAGCGUGACGUGAAAUGUAGCCGCUCAACGGCUGAACUGCGUCGCGAACUGGCAGUCUUGAGUGAGUACGACGUCCGCGGAAUUCGUGGUGUAGCGGUGAAAUGCUUAGAUAUCACGAAGAACCCCGAUUGCGAAGGCAGCUGACGAGUCCUUUACUGACGCUAAAGCUCGAAGGUGCGGGUAUCGAACAGGAUUAGAUACCCUGGUAGUCCGCACGGUAAACGAUGGAUGCCCGCUGUUGGCGAUACAAUGUCAGCGGCCAAGCGAAAGCGUUAAGCAUCCCACCUGGGGAGUACGCCGGCAACGGUGAAACUCAAAUGAAUUGACGG